Molecule: ribosomal RNA, 464 nt
Filed under: Haptophyta environmental samples
Lineage: Eukaryota; Haptophyta
Description: SSU rRNA
Rfam family: Eukaryotic small subunit ribosomal RNA
Source: RNAcentral
GCGCGUAAAUUGCCCGAAUCCUGACACGGGGAGGUAGUGACAAGAAAUAACAAUACAGGGCUAUUUUAGUCUUGUAAUUGGAAUGAGUACAAUUUACAUCUCUUCACGAGGAUCAAUUGGAGGGCAAGUCUGGUGCCAGCAGCCGCGGUAAUUCCAGCUCCAAUAGCGUAUAUUAAAGUUGUUGCAGUUAAAACGCUCGUAGUCGGAUUUCGGGGCGGGGCCGCCGGUCUGCCGAUGGGUAUGCACUGGCGGGCGCGUCCUUCCUUCCGGAGACUGGCCCUACUCUUAACUGAGCGGGGUCGGGAGUCGGAUCGUUUACUUUGAAAAAAUCAGAGUGUUUCAAGCAGGCAGCUCGCUCUUGCAUGGAUUAGCAUGGGAUAAUGAAAUAGGACUUUGGUGCUAUUUUGUUGGUUUCGAACACCGAAGUAAUGAUUAACAGGGACAGUCAGGGGCACUCGUAUUCC